RNAcentral lists this long non-coding RNA (848 nucleotides) under Homo sapiens (human). Its description in RNAcentral is "HSALNT0060558". The record is from RNAcentral. Lineage: Eukaryota; Metazoa; Chordata; Mammalia; Primates; Hominidae.
GGUGGGGGUGGGGGCAGCAGAUGGAAGAGCAGGGAAUCUGAGGCAGAAAUCAAGCCCAUCCUCCCACCCCUGUGGCUCUGACUUUCAGAAUUCUUUGGUGGCAGCUAACGGUUUGGAACAAAUGCAGUAUAGCUCAAGGAGCCCUGGUCUCGGGAUAAAAAGGAGUUCAAGGCCAGUUUCUGUUACGGGUCUGAGCCAAGCCACAUCACUUCGCAGCUAAACAAGCACUGGCCUCCAGAUAAACAGUAUUAAAACAAUUACAACUCAUCCAGCUCACAGAUGCUGAUUCACUGAACCCCUGUUCCACCGACCAGAAACAGCUUUGACUGGACAAGAGGCUGAAUUCAGUAACUUUCUCCUGAUGAGAAGACCACCAGCCAUGGACUGGUUCUUGCUGGUUUACAGAGACUGCACACCUGUGUACCUUCAUGUCCUGAAAAGAUCUUUUGACAUAGGGGCUAGGUAUAAUACAUUUCAUCUAUUCAUUUCAAAAUGAACAUCGGUCAUAAGUUACAUGUAUGUUUAUCUAACAUGCCUGUGUCAGGACCACUUUCUUGAAUACUCAGCUCCUCCUGUAACUUGUUGAACAUGUAUGUUUAGCCAACCUUUUCAGCAUAAAACUCCUACCCCAACCCCUCCUCCUUCCAAACGCCUGUCUCUGGUCUUGGCUAGAGGCAGGCUUCCCAGCCUGUGGGACAACCACCUUGCAGGCUGUAACCUUUUAUAAGAAUUAAAGCCUCUUCUCUUCUAAAUUUAUAAAUUAUGUUUUUUCUUAAGUUAACAAGUGGGGACAAUCAACACACUUGAAUGUUUCUUCCCAAUGAUCUGAAAAAUGCCUGUUGCUUCAA